AAAAAAAAGAGAGAAUUAUCUAGUUUUAUGAAACCAUUUUUAAAAUUACGAUAGAAAAAAAUAGUUAAAAAAUUAUUUUAAGGUGUUUUUAGAAAAAGUGUAAUUAUUUUUAUAUUAUUCUUUUUAUAAGUCUAUUAUUUUAAUAGUAGAAGAAAUAUUCAGAAUUAGUCCCGUGGAUAUAGUCCUAAACAGUUAAAGAUGAACAACGUAAAUUUUUAUGUGUCACAAUUUUACUUUUUUACUAUAUAAUUAUUCUCGUAAUUUUAUUAUCUUGACCCUGACAAGAUCAUACAUAACCAGCUUAACCGUUUAAUGGCAGCAAACGACCAAUAAAGUUUGAUCUCAAUCACUUCUUUGUUGAAGCGUUGCAAAAACUCAAACCACAGGCAAAAAAUUUCAAAAAAUAAAAAUAAAAUUGAAGACUCAGAAAACCACGUACUUUACUGAGUUAGGAUAUAUUAGUUUCAAUUGCAUCAGAAAAGAGUGGAGAAAGUUUUUGGUAUAAUUUAAUUAUUUUUCUAAGCUUUUCAGACUUUGUUUUAGGUGGAAGUACGUAAACCACAAUUCUUAUUGCUUUAACUUGCUUUAAUUACAUUUCAUACUCUAAUUUUAAUUGCUUUGGCUUGCUUUAAUGCUUUCA
RNAcentral lists this long non-coding RNA (640 nucleotides) under Jatropha curcas. Its description in RNAcentral is "long non-coding RNA (JCUR_LNC000778)". The record is from RNAcentral. Lineage: Eukaryota; Viridiplantae; Streptophyta; Magnoliopsida; Malpighiales; Euphorbiaceae.